AUCCUGGCUCAGAGCGAACGCUGGCGGCAGGCUUAACACAUGCAAGUCGAGCGGACGUAGCAAUACGUCAGCGGCAGACGGGUGAGUAACGCGUGGGAACGUACCUUUUGGUUCGGAACAACACAGGGAAACUUGUGCUAAUACCGGAUAAGCCCUUACGGGGAAAGAUUUAUCGCCGAAAGAUCGGCCCGCGUCUGAUUAGCUAGUUGGUAGGGUAAUGGCCUACCAAGGCGACGAUCAGUAGCUGGUCUGAGAGGAUGAUCAGCCACAUUGGGACUGAGACACGGCCCAAACUCCUACGGGAGGCAGCAGUGGGGAAUAUUGGACAAUGGGGGCAACCCUGAUCCAGCCAUGCCGCGUGAGUGAUGAAGGCCCUAGGGUUGUAAAGCUCUUUUGUGCGGGAAGAUAAUGACGGUACCGCAAGAA
RNAcentral lists this ribosomal RNA (426 nucleotides) under Bradyrhizobium genosp. TUXTLAS-15. RNAcentral describes it as "bacterial SSU rRNA". It matches the Rfam family "Bacterial small subunit ribosomal RNA", at positions 16 to 486 of the family's 1533-position model. The record is from RNAcentral. Lineage: Bacteria; Pseudomonadati; Pseudomonadota; Alphaproteobacteria; Hyphomicrobiales; Nitrobacteraceae.